Molecule: ribosomal RNA, 468 nt
Filed under: uncultured bacterium
Lineage: Bacteria
Description: partial 16S ribosomal RNA
Rfam family: Bacterial small subunit ribosomal RNA
Source: RNAcentral
GACGAACGCUGGCGGCGUGCUUAACACAUGCAAGUCGAACGGAAAGGCCCUGCUUUUGUGGGGUGCUCGAGUGGCGAACGGGUGAGUAACACGUGAGUAACCUGCCCUUGACUUUGGGAUAACUUCAGGAAACUGGGGCUAAUACCGGAUAGGAGCUCCUGCUGCAUGGUGGGGGUUGGAAAGUUUCGGCGGUUGGGGAUGGACUCGCGGCUUAUCAGCUUGUUGGUGGGGUAGUGGUUUACCAAGGCUUUGACGGGUAGCCGGCCUGGGAGGGUGACCGGCCACAAUGGGACUGCGAUACGGCCCAGACUCCUACGGGAGGCAGCAGUGGGGAAUAUUGCACAAUGGGCGGAAGCCUGAUGCAGCAACGCCGCGUGCGGGAUGACGGCCUUCGGGUUGUAAACCGCUUUCGCCUGUGACGAAGCGUGAGUGACGGUAAUGGGUAAAGAAGCACCGGCUAACUACGUG